Non-coding RNA from Biscogniauxia sp. FL1348, 89 nucleotides. The record is from the annotation of a GenBank genome assembly. Lineage: Eukaryota; Fungi; Ascomycota; Sordariomycetes; Xylariales; Xylariaceae.
GGGCGUUUGGUCUAGGGGUAUGAUAUUUGUUUUGCAUUGACUUCUCUAAUGCCUACAAAGGGUCCUGGGUUCAAUUCCCAGAACGUCCA